GACGAACGCUGGCGGCGUGCUUAACACAUGCAAGUCGAACGGAAAGGCCCUGCUUUUGUGGGGUGCUCGAGUGGCGAACGGGUGAGUAACACGUGAGUAACCUGCCCUUGACUUUGGGAUAACUUCAGGAAACUGGGGCUAAUACCGGAUAGGAGCUCCUGCUGCAUGGUGGGGGUUGGAAAGUUUCGGCGGUUGGGGAUGGACUCGCGGCUUAUCAGCUUGUUGGUGGGGUAGUGGCUUACCAAGGCUUUGACGGGUAGCCGGCCUGAGAGGGUGACCGGCCACAUUGGGACUGAGAUACGGCCCAGACUCCUACGGGGGGCAGCAGUGGGGAAUAUUGCACAAUGGGCGGAAGCCUGAUGCAGCAACGCCGCGUGCGGGAUGACGGCCUUCGGGUUGUAAACCGCUUUCGCCUGUGACGAAGCGUGAGUGACGGUAAUGGGUAAAGAAGCACCGGCUAACUACGUGCCAGCAGCCGCGGUGAUACGUAGGGUGCGAGCGUUGUCCGGAUUUAUUGGGCGUAAAGGGCUCGUAGGUGGUUGAUCGCGUCGGAAGUGUAAUCUUGGGGCUUAACCCUGAGCGUGCUUUCGAUACGGGUUGACUUGAGGAAGGUAGGGGAGAAUGGAAUUCCUGGUGGAGCGGUGGAAUGCGCAGAUAUCAGGAGGAACACCAGUGGCGAAGGCGGUUCUCUGGGCCUUUCCUGACGCUGAGGAGCGAAAGCGUGGGGAGCGAACAGGCUUAGAUACCCUGGUAGUCCACGCUGUAAACGGUGGGUACUAGGUGUGGGGUCCAUUCCACGGGUUCCGUGCCGUAGCUAACGCUUUAAGUACCCCGCCUGGGGAGUACGGCCGCAAGGCUAAAACUCAAAGGAAUUGACGGGGCCCCGCACAAGCGGCGGAGCAUGCGGAUUAAUUCGAUGCAACGCGUAGAACCUUACCUGGGUUUGACAUGGAUCGGGAGCGCUCAGAGAUGGGUGUGCCUCUUUUGGGGUCGGUUCACAGGUGGUGCAUGGCUGUCGUCAGCUCGUGUCGUGAGAUGUUGGGUUAAGUCCCGCAACGAGCGCAACCCUUGUUCACUGUUGCCAGCACGUUAUGGUGGGGACUCAGUGGAGACCGCCGGGGUCAACUCGGAGGAAGGUGGGGAUGACGUCAAGUCAUCAUGCCCCUUAUGUCCAGGGCUUCACGCAUGCUACAAUGGCUGGUACAGAGAGUGGCGAGCCUGUGAGGGUGAGCGAAUCUCGGAAAGCCGGUCUCAGUUCGGAUUGGGGUCUGCAACUCGACCUCAUGAAGUCGGAGUCGCUAGUAAUCGCAGAUCAGCAACGCUGCGGUGAAUACGUUCCCGGGGCU
RNAcentral lists this ribosomal RNA (1346 nucleotides) under uncultured bacterium. Its description in RNAcentral is "bacterial SSU rRNA". It matches the Rfam family "Bacterial small subunit ribosomal RNA", at positions 28 to 1381 of the family's 1533-position model. The record is from RNAcentral.